AGUAAAAGGGCUGUCUGCGCCUCUUUCAUUACGCCGCGUGGAGUCCUGCAGGGCAGAAAGCUCUGAUUAAAACGGCUUUUGCUGCGAUUCAGAGGAUUUUGGGGGAAAAAGAAAAUGCCCCUGCCUGCUGGAGUCUGUCUGAGGCACUGUUGGUGGGUAUGAAGCCCUGGAAAGUCACAGAGUGCAGCCAAUGAUCCCUAAACCUGCAAUUUAUGCAACUGCUGUAAUCUUCGCACAACCGUAACUGAUGAAUAUGCAUCAUAUCAUUUCUAUGCACAGUGGAAAGUAACCUACUUCUGGCCCCCAGCAAGCUGCGCCUGGCCAACAGGACUGGGAGCUGAACUGGCAGGAGGGCAAACGCUGAUCCUGCCAAGGGCAGAUGAUGGCCUCUCUGUGAACAACCCCUGCCUGGACUUUUCUGUCCCAACCUGCUGACAGUGGCACGGGGACACCAGUGGGACUCCCCAGGCAAAGCCAGUCCGUUCCGGACCUCAUUGCCCCUGAGCCCUGCAGGACUGAGAGACUUGGGGCUGCAAGCCAGACAGUGGGGCUGGAGAGCUGCCUGCUGGGGUCUGCUCUUCCAUCCAGCCACUAUCACUGGGGAACAUCCUGUGUGAGAUACUCCUUCUCCUGGACUGAGGGAGAGUUGCUAUUGCCUCCUCCUCUGUCCGUGGUCCCCCUAGCCCUUUCCAACAUGGCCUGCAAGGCAGCAGGACCUGCAGCAGGACCACCUUUGAUCCUGCCAACAAGAGAUGACAGCCAUCAGACUGACUUUGACACCCCAUGCUCAUGCUUGGUCAAGGACGGGAGCCAGCAUCGUGUUGCAGCACCUGCUGUCUUCUCAAAGCUGGAGCUGAGGCAGGAGGUGUGCAGCAAGCUCUGGUUGCACACAGCAAGAAAACGGCUGGAGAUAAAGCUGUGAAGCUUCCCCGGGGCAGUGCAGUGGUCCAUAGAAACACUGCAUCAGCUGCUCACCAAAUUCCUGCAGGUAGUGGCUGGUCCCCUGCAGCCACACUGCACCUGUGUCCCCUUGCUGAUGUCUAAGUGCCUCUUUAAGACAGAGCAGGUCAAAUAGCAGCAGCUCAGGACAUCGCUGUGGGGCCAACAUAUACCCUGCCCUGCAAUGCAUCCUUUGCCCAGCUGAUGCCCAUCGACUAUCAUGGCAGCAGCUCCUCCAGCUGCAGCGAGGCUGCUGACUCGGCCCAGGGGACCAGUCACUGAUGACCCUUCUGCUCCACACCUCUCCCUUUUCCUUCCUGCAGCAUGGUCACUCCUGUGAGGCAGAGCUGAACCUCAGUUGCUCUGAGAGCCUGAGCAACUUGGACCUGACCCUGGAGAGAGGAGCCCCUGCAGAGCUGGGGUCUGCCUGCUCCCUUGGACCUCUGCAUGACUGUGAAGCUCCUUAAGCUGUAAAGAUGUAUGUGGCACAGAAGGACUGGAACUGUGGCUGGGGCCAUGCCUGUGUUGGUGCAGGGGUCCCAGCAGUGAGCGGUGCUGCGCAAGGCUGCCCAUCCAGCCAAGACUUAUCCAUCCAAGGAUGACCCAAGCCUAGGCGUGGCACAGGUUGUGCCCCUCACUGCAUUCACUGUGGUAUCCUCGGCCCUGGUCCAUGGGAUCCUUGCUAUGAGCCUGAGGCUGGAGCCCUGGUGAGGUGCACCAUGGAUGCUUUGGAUGACCAACACCAGGAGCACACCCAGGAACACAGACUUGCAAGGGAGAUGGACACAGGGCGGCCUCCCACAGGGAAUACCAUGCCAGACAGCUGUGCCGCCUCCCAGCUUAAUGUCCUCCAGCCCAAAAGAGACCCCCAGCCAGUACAGCUCAUCUUUGCAGGAGCAAACUGCAGUGCUCCUGCCACCAGGCACAUGUGCUUGUGCUACCUGUACUGAGAUAAUGGCAUUCAGGGUACUGUGAUGGUGCUGACCAGCCAUAAUCUCUGCUUGGUCUGGGGAAAGUGAUGGAUAAGGAAUUGGCUGGAGGGCUGCAUCCAAAGAGUUAUAGUCAAUGGCUUAACAUCCAAGUGGAAACCAGUAAAAAGUGGUGUCCCUCAAGGGUCUGUACUGGGACCAGUACUCUUUAAUAUCUUCAUCAAUGACAUAGUGGGAUUGAAUGUACCCUGAGAGAGGUUUGCAGCAAGCAAAGCAGCUUUUAUUACCAAAACACAUCCUCAACUUUUAAAUCUGUUUCCAAAAAGAAUGGAAAUGCUGUUACACAAGACACAGAAAGGAAGGCAAUAUCUGUAAUCAGUGUUUGGGAAGAAGCAAGGAAGGCUGUGAAAUACUUUCCAGUUUAUUGGGCAGUAGAGGGGAUGCUAGAAGACAUACACUGAGGGCAAGUAUUUCAAAAGUAGCAGCCCAGAUAAAUUGUACCCAAGAGCCCUGAAAGAAUGGGCUGAGGGAUCUUAGCUGCAAUGGUAUUUAUUUCUUAUACAGCUGGAAUUUCCCUGGUGUUCCCAGGAGAUGCUUGGGCAGGCAGGCAUCUGCUGGGUAUCUCCCUGCUCAGGCAUCCACGUUCCCUGGAGCACAGUGCAUCCUUCAUGUGAGUCAGGCACACAGGGACAGCACGGCUGUUACUACAAGUAUCUUGACAGAAGAAUGGCUGCUUGCUCUUUCUGGGAAAAGCCCUAGUAGAGUAAAGCAAAGCCGAUGCAGCUCCCACAUGAGGUGUUAAAGGGGGAGUGGGAGCACACCCCAUGGGAAGGAGCCCAUUUUGGCCAGCUCUCCACCUCUGCCUCCUCCAUCCCUGGGAUGGUGAAUAAAUGUGAGCAGCUUGAGGAGAGAGGUCACUUCUCCCUGGACUCCCUGGACGUGGGGGCAUCCUGUGAGCUUGCUGCUGGAAGACAGCAUCUCCUUGUGGUAUGCGCAUGGACUCGAUGUUAAUGGUUCUUCUCUUGUCUGCAGCCCUUUGAGGUAUGAUCACCAGUCUGGUGAAUUGCCCUUCACAAGGAAAACAUCCUGACUUCGCUUAGUUGCUGCUUCUUGCCAAACUGUCUCACAAAACAAAGUCUCCAGAAUAGCUUCCAACUUACUUUGUCCGUUCUGCAUUUUUUUGCAGAUUCUGUGAUGUUUGCACAACUUAAACUCAGAGAUCUCUUGUAACCUUGUUUGCAAGCUGUGCUGCUGUUUCUUGUCCUGCCUUGUGCUGUGAAGGUUAUUACAGGUACCCUAGGAAGUGUAGCAGAAAUGGGAGUCCCUGCGGCAGUUUGGGGACUGCAGGUUGCCCUGAGCUGAGGAGGGGCAGGAGGUGGUUUGGGACAGCGUGUGUGAUCCCAGGCACAGGCAGCCACCUGCAGGGAAGUGGCACCUGCCAGCCAGUUCCUCCAGGACCAGUUCUGGACCUGAAAAAAAUUCAGCAUGGUAGAAAAUUAAUAUUAAAUGUGUGUAGAUGAAAUCCACAAGAAGACAAGCAAGGAACUAAAACACUGCAAGGACUGAGCAGCUACACUACUGGCAGCAAGGCUCAGGGCUGUUACAAGCUGAUCUGAUGGCUCCCUCUGGCCGUAGGCUUUGUGAGUCUGUGGAAAAUGCAUCCUGCUGCUGCUCUGUUCCUGCAGAAGUCCAAAGAGCCAGGGAACCUGCUUCUUUUCCAGACUUCUUGUCUGCAAAAUGUCUCCUCCACUGCCUUGUCCAGUGAGUUUUUGGGCAAUGCAGAAACAUGGGGCUGGUGCUGGGCUGGGCAUCACCCACAGAUUCUUGCUGCACACAGGAGCUGAUCAUUGUUUCAAGCCAACCAGAGCAAUAGUUUUAGCAAUGCACUUGAGUUUCUGAAAGGCUGAAGGGAAAUUAUUAUCCUCCUCUGAUCAGCACUCAUUACACUAUGCCUGGCUACUGCGUUCAGGUUCGGCCACCCCAGUACAAGAGAGGCAUUAACAGACUUCAGCGGGGGCCGCUGAAAUGGCGGGGGCUGGAGAUCCUGCCCAGCGAGGAGAGGCUGGAGGAGCUGGGCUUGUCCAGCAUUGAGAAGGGAUGGCUUUGGGGAGACAUCCCUAACAUCUAUGGGGAGAUUACUGAGAAGACAGAGGUAGACUUUUAAUGUAAGUGUGUAAGAAGAUGAAAGAAAGUGAUCCAGCUUGUAGCCUGGGGAAGUUUUUCCUCAUGGGGACAGUCACGUGUUUGAAGAGGAGCCUGGAGAAGAGGUAGGACCUCCAGCCUCUUGGAUUUCAAGACACAGGUGGGCAAAGUCCUGUGCAACCUGGUCUGAUGCCACUGCUGCCCCCGCUUUGGAUGGGAGGUUGCAAUUGAGUCCAUGUUUGGUUUGCGAGUCCAUGAGAUGGAUUUGUGGAUCCGUGAAGGAAGUGGGUAGAGACUGAGGACAUCAACAGCUGAAAAUGGUCUUGGGCAGAGGGAGCCUCAAGGAGGGAUGGGGGACUGCCUGAUGCGUGGUGGGAGGAAAGCCUGAUUGAGCCCAGGCAGUCCCCAGUACCCAGUCUGAGCCUGGACGUGACUUGUCUUGCCAAGAGCACAAGCCUCUUGGAGCUGGUGGAGAAGUGUGGGACCAAACAGCCUGAUGAGUUGGACAAACUUGGAUAAGAAAUGAAGCCAAUUUCUAGCACUUCUUUCUGGAUUCAGACUCAUCCCAACACGCUCUUCUGCCAGCUCCGAAGGAGAUGAGAGAAGGGAAAUUAAUGGAGCUGCUUGGAAAGUGUUUGUAAACGCUUUGGCCUCACGCAGAGGGCUGUGGGGCAAGGGGCAGAGAGUGGCGUGGGGCAAGGGUGUCCAAUGCAGGGCAUGCCCUGGGGCUGGGUGCCCAGCUGUAUGGGCGGCGGGAGGCCAGAGCUGCCUUCCUGGGGAAAAAGCAAUGGGAUGCUGACAUCUGCAUGGGGAUGGGAGCAGGGCACAAGGUUAUGCCUAUGUUUCAGAGGCAGGAGGGUGUAAAUCAGGGAACGUGUAGGGUGCACAGGGGAAGGAAGCUGGCUGGGCUCUCUCAACCCCUGGUGGGACCCAUGCCGGUCAGUGAUUAAUGAGGCCACCACUGGGUCUAGACGAACUGAUUAAGCAUGUGCGGGAAGGCCACCAGGCACCUCGGCCAGCUGGCAGGGAGCAGCCUGGGGCCAAGCUCUCUCGCCCCCGAACAGAGAGGCCGCAUCCUCCAUCCCUCGAGGAUGGUCCCUGACCCUGCUCACCCCUAUACACUUAGCUUGGUGCUAGCUGGCCUGGCUCAAAAGCAUGCGAGGGAGCAUGCACACAAUUUAUCAGCACACACAGUGAUGUUCCAGCGGUUCUGAGCUUUGCUUCAAGAGUACGCCAUUGCUCCAGGGACUCUGCAGUAAUAAAUCAGGAGGCAUCAAUGCAAGAGACUUUUCUGAAGCAAUAGGUGAUCCCUGGUUUUGUGGUUGAGGUGCUGUGAUACUGAGGGCUGCAGCUAUGGAGAAACCAGCGGGGAGAGGGACAAACUGUAUGGCCAUCGCAGUUUCUCUCUGCCCAACAGCCGCUCCCACUACGUCAUGAAGUUGGGAAAUCAGGUCUAUGUGCUUUCCUCUUGCUCCAUUUAUCCUCCCUUGCCCCUCAUCCAUGGACAGUUAGUCACCCAAAAAGCUUCUCAAUCUGGUCAUAUCCCUAUGAUUUUCUGCGAUGCUUUUGUCCUUCUUACUAACGAGAAGCAGUCGCCCCUCUUACCACGGUUCAUAGUGAGGACAUUCGUCAGUGCCGCAGGUUCCUGGGGUCGUCUGGUCAGCACAGGGUCCCUAGUGCUCCUCUGGCAGCUUCCCUGGCUGGAAAACCCAUGCCUUUCACCCACGUGCCUUUCAGAAACAUGCUUAUCUUAAAAAAAAAGAAAGGAGAAUUGAAAGUACUUUUCCUGUUUCUUCCUCUGAUUAUGCUCCUCACUUAAAUUAAUUAAGCUGUUUGUUUCAAAAUCUUCCCUCCAUAAAUCUGAGCAAUGUUUCUGGUUCAACUGACCAGAUUUUGGUUCCAAGUUGUCCUGUUUGUGUUAUCGGCAAAAGCUUUGGCCUGUCAUGCCUGGAAGACAUCGCCCUGGGAACAGCCGGCCAUGCCGAGAAGGAGAUGGGAUAUUCUCUAGCUGAGAUGCCACAGGCAGGACACCCAGCAGGCUCCCUGCACCCGGGUCAUCUGGAUCCCUGCUUACCUUGUGCCCUCCCAAAAUCUAGCAUUGCUUAGCCUGAGCUUUGUGCUUUGCAACAGUGUGAGCGUUGUCCAUUGCCUACCUUCAAACACUCACUGGCAGGCAGAGAAGGUCCUGGCCUGGCUACAAGCGAGGCCAAAAGUCUGCAGCCAUUUGAGCUUGCUAUAAAUCCCCUCCGACUGUGUUGUGCUGGCUCUGGAGAGGAUGAAGGGGCUGGUGGCAGGGAGGGGAAGGAUGGCAGGACAGACCUUCCUAUUCAAAGUGCAUGAAGCUGGACAGGCUUGCUUGGGUCUAUGCCUUGCGAGGGGAAUGAGCUGUGUGCUCUGCUCCUGCCCUGGUGUUGGCACAUCAGCCGCCCUGAGUCCCCACAGCAUAUGGGCAUCAGGGCGGUGCAUUUUAGCCCACUGUCACAUUCUUGUGGCCAAAUUGCCCAAGGAAACAUCUUCCUCACCUCAAAAGCAGCAAUACUGGGGGAGCUUCACCACACUGCCACACUGGGGGAAAACAGUGUGUUUCAACCACAAGCCCCUCUUAUGGGAGCAUCUGGCUUCUCUCUCCUCCCCAGCUCGCCCUCAUGUCCUUCCCUUGGGACUCAGUGCUGAACGGCUGGGAAGGGUCAUGUCUGUCAACUGUCCAUCACAUACUGCAGUCCAUCAGGACCCCCAGAUGGCUGCACCCCCUUCUUUCCCCGUGCAGUCACAGCGAGGCCAGCUGCAAGCUGCUUGCUUCAUACAGAGGAAACAUGGGGCUACAGAUGGGCUGGGGGUUCAAAGUGAUUCCUUGAGCUUGUUAGCAGAGGCAGGACAACCUGUUUACUUUGACAGGGAGAGCGACUUGCUCAGUGGGUGGCUGCAGAAACCUCAGCAAACAGCUGGGGAGAUGCAGGAAGGCUCCUCUGUCAUGUUGGCUUGGAGUCUCCUGGCCACGACUGUUCGAAAGCUGAAAAAUCUGGAGUCAAUCUAGUAAUGAAGAGCUCCAUCCAGCAGCUACUGCCUGCAGCCGCGGGGCAGCAUGAGGACAGGGAGACUCUGGCUGGGGGUACUGGGGGCUGGAGACUCCCCCCUGCCCUGAGCUGGCUGUUCAGCUCUACUAUGCCCUGCUGGUAUGGUGGGGACCCCCGCUGAGGGAAUUGGUGUGGUGUCAGGCUCUGGGGGAUGGAGGUGACAGCUGGGCAGACCUCUUGCGGGGACAGGGUACACGAAGACCCAGGCUCCAUGGUGAGAUAUAUAAUGGACAAAAGUCUUCUCUCUGACAGUUCUGGGCACCUUUUUUCCAGCAUUGUGCCUCCCUUAGCUUCCCCUUUGAAGGACCUGCGCCUGGUGGCCCUGUGGUUUGCGAUGUCCCUAAACUGGGGGCUGGCUCCUGGCUGGGCUAGGUUAGCAAUGAGCCUUUUUUGGGAAUUCCCUGCACAGAUGCCAUGGGAUUUAUUAGCCCAUGUGCUUUUGUGCAGGAGUGUGACUGCAAAAGCUGUUUGCAGAAACAGGCUGGAGCUGUUUGCAAACCUUCCAGGCUGGGACUUUGCCUUAAUCUCUGUGAUUAGCUCAAAUGGGAAGGAACAGCUGGGCAGCUGGGGAGCCUGAGAAGUAGGACAAACACAUGUGAGAUCCAAAGCUUCCCAGAAAUUGCACUGUGUUGAGUUUAGUGCUGAGGGACUGGAAGGACAGCUUUUUAUGGGGGCAUCCUUAAGAGAAGGCAGCUGGUAGUGUGUGGUGCACUAGUGGCUUUGGCUAGCAGACAGUCUGGCAGCCAGUGAUGGGCUGGAGAGCCCUGGCUGUGCCGUGAGGACAGAGGAAAGUGUGGGUGCCACAUCUCCCCUUGUCUCUUGCUCCUCUGAGCCUCUGCAUACAGGGUGUUUAAGGCUGCAGGAGACCACUGGGUUGCGCAGUCUUAGCCCUGCACAGUGCAGAUCACAGACAACUGUGAGACUGCUGUAGGGCAGGGAGGCAUUGCUGCCUGCAUGGAGAGCCAUGAGGGAUGCUCUGAUCCCCCGGUGGGUUUGGUGGCGGGUCCAGGCUGCAGGUCUCAGCUGCAGUGUUCUGCACCCAGCUUUUCUUGUGCGGCUUGGGGCCAGCAUGCUGGGGUGUCUCACAGACAAGAAGCUGUGGCGGAGGUGGAUGGACACUGCACACUGUUUCAGGGAGGUCCUUGAUGGGAGGACAAUCUUAGAUGGGCUGCGCCACCCCAGAAGAGCUCUUCUAAAUGUCCUGCGUCACUCGCUUUAGCAUAUAUAAAAUGCCUAUUCCAACAAAGCGUGCUGAGCACAGGCACAGGCCAAGUCUCAGGACGGCGGGGAUUUCCAGAAGAUUUAGAAGAAAAUGUUAUGCCAACAUUUGACAGGGGUACAGGGGUGACCAGAAAGAUCAUGCACAUGUCUGGGGAGACACUUAGCCCCUAGCACAUCCCCAUGCUGGAAGACGUCUCUGGUAAUCGAACAUUUUUAAAUAAAACAGGAUUUUUUCCUGAAAUUUGUGUGUGACCCAGGAGGUCCCAAAGAAGAUAACAUCAAGUGGGAAGAGAGAGUGACUUGACCUCCAAGGGCUGCUUGGAUGUUUGGAGCAUUAUCCUUAUCUUUGCAGUGCUCUAGCCAAAGUGGCUCUGUGCUCAGCAGCCUGGAGACACACUUAAUCUUUUAAUUCCCUGUGACACAUGAGCAACUGCAAAUUUCAACAGGUUCUGGAAAAACCUAUUGUCCCAGGCAAAAAGGCUAAUAUCACGAGGAUAGAAGAUGAAAAGGCACUCAACAAGAGGCAAGGAGGAGAUGCAGUUAGUGUGAUAGGCCUGAUGAUGGGAGGUGUGGGUCCCUUGAAUGGAGGGUACUUGCAUGAGAAGCUGGAGCCAUGCAGAGGUGCAAGGUCAGCAGUCACCAUGGCUGUUCCAGCCUCACCUGGAGAUCAGAGUGGUUUAUGUGUGCUUUCGGUUGUAAGCAUGCUAGCUGGCCUUUGCAUUUGUACUCCAAACACUCUCCCCAGACCUGCUUAGACCAAUCUUUAUGUGUGAUAGUGCUGCCAUGGCACAAGGACAGGGAAAGACAACCUCCCCAGAGCAUCAGGGCCAUUGCAGAUGGGAGCAGAGGAAGACAGGGGGGUCCUGCAGCCCAGGGGGUUUCAGGGCAUUCUGCCAGACUGCAGUGGGGCCGUGCUGAGGCUUGUUCCCUCAUUCCCUGCCCCUGAGUUCCAUCACCUCUCGGCAAGGAGAACUGUGGGGCUGGCGGAUCUUACCGUUUGGAAGAGAAAAUACAGAUGGUGCUUCAGAGGAAAUCUGCUUUGUCAACAAAGCACUUGGUGCUUCUUUCCAUGAUACUGGAGGUAUCAGACAAAUAGAGGGGUAUCUGUGUGGGGUCUGAAGCCCCUUUCCUGCAGCUCUGAACCCUGCAGCACUGCCAGCAAAAUGGGUAACUAUGUCCUUUCUCCAUGCCCACAUGGGAAGCAGCAGGAGAUGCUCUGAACUCUGUUCCCUACUUCUCCUACUCUCAAUUUUAGCUCUAGCAUUGAGUUUCCCUCUCUGUCCACAAAGCUUUGGCUGUUGGAUCAUGAAGGGACUCUACAUUAUGCGGUGAGCCUUUGGUUUUCCAGGCUUAGUGCAAAGGCCCUUUCACUGGGCAGCUGGCACACAGCUUGGGGUGGGGGAGCUGGGCUCUGGGCUUGCAGACCCAUGAUGGUCCUGCUCCCAGGGGUAGGAGCACAAGGCAAAUACAAAGGGAGCAGGAGAAUCCCCAGAGCUUUCGGCACUGAAAUGGCUGCUGGUUUGUACAUCUUCCCCCUCUCCCUCCAGCGAGGCUGUUAUUUUGCAAUGCUGGCAACUCUCACAGAGACCUUCGGUACUGGAGCAGAGCCCUGUGCAGAUGGGAAUUAGGGCCAUGGCCCUUGUGGUCUUCCUGGGGGUGCAAAAUCCCCUUCCUGAUUGCAACCACAGUCAAUUACUGUUGGGAUACAUGGGGCAUGAUCUAGUUGAAUCUCAUCUUGGCAGCCUUGAGCUUCUCCAGACCUCUGCAACAUGCAGGGUCUGCUCUGUUGUCAAGGCGUCAGGACAGGACCCAUCGGGGGAGGCAGGGAUGGGACCUCUGGUCCUAAGAUGGGGAGCAGGACCUUCAGAGUGCACACAGUGCAGAGCCCCAUGGGUAUAUGCAGAGCCAGCCAAUGGCAUAGCCACCAGAGGUAGGUCUGCUUUGAGUGCACAGGGAUGUCUCUCUAUCCAGUGUCUACAUGCCAGAAAAGCCCUGCCUGUUAAGACCAUCAUGCUGCCUCCAUCACCCAAGCACCAAAAACCUGGGAAUUCAAGAAUGGCCAUUUGACUUGGCCACCAAACUGGUCUCCAGGAGCAGGCAGAGGG
This is a non-coding RNA of Phalacrocorax carbo (great cormorant), 10410 nucleotides long. Lineage: Eukaryota; Metazoa; Chordata; Aves; Suliformes; Phalacrocoracidae. The record is from RefSeq and is a predicted model, not a curated record.